ACGAUUUUCCCGUCACUGUCCGUCAUCUCUUCCGGCGCGCCGUUCACAUCCGUGUGAAAAUACAGUAUCCGGUUCGGGCCCUCUUUGCCUGCCUUAUCCACCCGCGCCAGCGGUUCAUAACUCCCCUGGUCCCUGUAGAUAUACAGGCUGCCUGUUCCCUCCGGCCUGCUCUCCUGCGCCAGCCGCAUUCCGUCCCAUAAAAAUUUUGUCCGGUUGUACGGUUUACCGUCAGGGCAGGGCAAGAUUACGAAAGCCCGCUCCCCGCAAGGACUGACGCCAGAUAGUUUCUGUCCAUGGCUGCUUUUCGCAUCUUACGUCUUAACCCUGCCUUGAAUACCUUAUCAUUCGUCAAAAUAUUAAUAGCAAUGUGCCGUAUCCCUGAAAAUAAUUCUGCUGCAUUUCCUCUUCUUAUUUUGCAGUCGUCUUCAUUCAUUACCACGUCCAGACGCCAGUGCAGCUUAUUCUCCACGUGCCAGUGAUUUCGGAUCGCUGUGGCGAAUUUCUCAGCGGUUAAAUCAGCAGAACUGAUAUAAUAUCUGACCGUCAUUUCUGGCUCUUUCUUUUGUUCUGCUAUUAUGGACCGAAAGGAGACUGCCACGCAUAAUUUCUUCAGCCCUUUCCAUUCAAACGUGAAAUCAAUAAGUUCAUCAGGGACAUCGCAAACAAUAUGAAGACGGAUUUCUUCUCUGCCGUGACUCUUUUCACUAAUUGCGUAACUGUCAUGCUCUGGAUUAUUUAAUUCUUUCAGCGGAAAUUUUUCCUCAAAGGCUUUAUUUAGCCGCCCCUGGUUUCCUUUUACCGCGAAUAAAUAAUCACCUCCCUGUUUUUGUAUCUUCUCUGCAAUAUCUUUCUGGCAACCCAUCGCAUCAGUUGUGAUGAUUUUCCUUUAAUAUCCAGCAUGUUAAGAAGUUCUGGGAUAGCUGUAAUCUCAUUAGAUUUCUCAUCCGUCUUGAUCUGUCCGAUGACCAGACUGUGCAUUGUUGAGAACGCACUAAUGACAUGAAUCGCUCCCCUGCGGCGACUCUUGUCAUAAGAGUGCCGGAGCGUUUUUCCAUCAAUUGCAAUGACGUCUUUAUCAUCUGAAGAAUGGCAGUCACGCAUCCAGUUAAUAAAGCACUCGUGAAAUUUUGCAGGACUGAUACAGGAUACAACUCUGGCAAUGGUAUCGUGAACAGGAAUACCAUUUUCAAAAUCACCAUAUUGCUUCAAAAAAUCGAGAUGUGUUUCCCCAAAAUCCUCUAUAUCUUCCCAACCUUCCGCACCAGAAAUAACGGCACAAAUAGUCAACAAUAGAAUAUCCGAUAAUUUAUGUUCCACUUUCCAGGCUUGUCUGUAAUCGGGGAUAAUAGAAAUAUGUUCCAUCAAUUUUUUAAGUUCCAUUUUGUUCUCCUUAAUUAUGUAAGGAGUAUUUGAUCAUGUAUAAGCAAUAAAAAACAGCUUCAGGUAAUAAGGAAUAUCUCAAUUUUUAAACAUAAAAUGCGAAUUAUUUAGUACAAAAAGUGAACUUCUGAUGAUCUUUCCCUGCCCAUAGCUCUUAAAACCAUACGGUAUGCCUACACCAGAUAAGCCAAACGGAUCGAUCCAUGACAGCGGAUUCGGCGCAUAAGCAUAUAAGUUUAACCCGCCUCUCAGCCCUAUCGGGUCAUCGGGACGAUCCGGUGGGGGUCACACUUUUUAACACGCUACCGCCCGCGCCGUUUCUGGCUUCCCGGCUAUCACCUUUUACUUAUUUAACAGCACGUUAACCCAGCUUUCCCGACGCGCGUUUUCACGCCCGCUCACCCAUAUCACCACCACCACGAACCUGUCAUUCCGCUUUCCACUAAGUCCGUUUCCGGCACCCCGUGACGGGGUGCCGCCAGGCCGCCACCGGCGGCAUGGCGGGGCCACGGCGCGGGGUCUGCGGGUGCGGG
This 1913-nucleotide ribosomal RNA is filed under the name Escherichia coli MP020980.2. RNAcentral describes it as "partial 16S ribosomal RNA". Lineage: Bacteria; Pseudomonadati; Pseudomonadota; Gammaproteobacteria; Enterobacterales; Enterobacteriaceae. The record is from RNAcentral.